RNAcentral lists this ribosomal RNA (139 nucleotides) under uncultured eukaryote. Its description in RNAcentral is "partial 18S ribosomal RNA". It matches the Rfam family "Eukaryotic small subunit ribosomal RNA", at positions 1299 to 1458 of the family's 1831-position model. The record is from RNAcentral.
UGGUGGAGUGAUUUGUCUGGUUAAUUCCGUUAACGAGCGAGACCUCGACCUGCUAAAUAGCUCAGGUAUCGUCUUUGAUGCCGAGGGCUUCUUAGAGGGACUAUCGGAUCCAAACCGGUGGAAGUGCGAGGCAAUAACA